RNAcentral lists this ribosomal RNA (480 nucleotides) under uncultured bacterium. RNAcentral's name for it is "partial 16S ribosomal RNA". It matches the Rfam family "Bacterial small subunit ribosomal RNA", at positions 28 to 507 of the family's 1533-position model. The record is from RNAcentral.
GACGAACGCUGGCGGCGUGCUUAACACAUGCAAGUCGAACGAUGAAGAAAAGAAUUGAAGCUUCGGCAGAAAUUCAUUUCGGAUUAGUGGCAGACGGGUGAGUAACGCGUGAGCAACCUACCUCUUACAAAGGGAUAGCCUCGGGAAACCGGGAUUAAUACCAUAUAACAUUGCGACGAAGCAUUUCGAUGCAAUCAAAGCUACGGCGGUAAGAGAUGGGCUCGCGUCCCAUUAACCAGAUGGUGAGGUAACGGCUCACCAUAGUAACGAUGGGUAACCGGCCUGAGAGGGUGAACGGUCACACUGGAACUGAGACACGGUCCAGACUCCUACGGGAGGCAGCAGUGGGGAAUAUUGCACAAUGGAGGGAACUCUGAUGCAGCGACGCCGCGUGAGCGAUGAAGGAAUUCGUUUCGUAAAACUCUGUUCUAUGGGAAGAAAAGGACUGUACCAUAGGAGAAAGCUCCGGCUAAAUACGUG